GGGCUUUCGUCUUGUAAUUGGAAUGAUGGUGACAUAAAACCUCACCAGAGUACCAAUUGGAGGGCAAGUCUGGUGCCAGCACCCGCGGCAAUUCCAGCUCCAAUAGCGUAUAUUAAACUUGUUGCAGUUAAAAAGCUCGUCGUUGAAUUUCAGCCUUUCGUUUUUUCCCUCUUUUCGGGGCUUUUUGCGGGCUUUGUUUCUACUUUGAGAAAAUUAGAGUGCUUCAAGCAGACUUUUGUCUUGAAUACUUCAGCAUGGACUAAUAGAGUAGGACUUUGGUGCUAUUUUGUUGGUUUCGAGCCUUGGUAAUGGUUAAUAGGAACGGUUAGGGGCAUUCGUAUUUAACUGUCAGAGGUGAAAUUCUUAGAUUUGUUAUAGACGAACCACUGCGAAAGCAUUUGC
Molecule: ribosomal RNA, 402 nt
Filed under: Babesia sp.
Lineage: Eukaryota; Apicomplexa; Aconoidasida; Piroplasmida; Babesiidae
Description: SSU rRNA
Rfam family: Eukaryotic small subunit ribosomal RNA
Source: RNAcentral